CCCAGACUCCUACGGGAGGCAGCAGUGAGGAAUAUUGGUCAAUGGGCGCGAGCCUGAACCAGCCAAGUCGCGUGAGGGAGGACGGCCCUACGGGUUGUAAACCUCUUUUGCCGGGGAGCAACGGGCGUCACGUGUGGCGCCACUGAGAGUACCCGGAGAAAAAGCAUCGGCUAACUCCGUGCCAGCAGCCGCGGUAAUACGGAGGAUGCGAGCGUUAUCCGGAUUUAUUGGGUUUAAAGGGUGCGUAGGCGGGCAUUUAAGCCGGCGGUCAAAUGUCGGGGCUCAACCCCGGCCUGCCGUCGGAACUGGGUGCCUUGAGUGGGCGAGAAGUAUGCGGAAUGCGUGGUGUAGCGGUGAAAUGCAUAGAUAUCACGCAGAACUCCGAUUGCGAAGGCAGCAUACCGGCGCUCAACUGACGCUCAUGCACGAAAGUGUGGGUAUCGAACAGGAUUAGAUACCCCUGUAAU
This 467-nucleotide ribosomal RNA is filed under the name uncultured bacterium. RNAcentral's name for it is "bacterial SSU rRNA". It matches the Rfam family "Bacterial small subunit ribosomal RNA", at positions 330 to 794 of the family's 1533-position model. The record is from RNAcentral.